Schistocerca cancellata (South American locust) is the source of this 730-nucleotide long non-coding RNA. RefSeq lists it as uncharacterized. The record is from RefSeq and is a predicted model, not a curated record. Lineage: Eukaryota; Metazoa; Arthropoda; Insecta; Orthoptera; Acrididae. The transcript has 3 exons.
GCUUUGCUGGAGAAUGAGCUCGCAGACAGACAAGCGAUUGACAGCUUUUAUCAUCAAACUUAUUUUCUAUUAUUUGUUGAAAGUCUGGCACGGUGGGCUUCUAAAAUUGUAUAUAUGUUGACUAAACCAGAUGACGUUACAAGAGCGAGGGUUGUAACAUUAUUUUGCUGCAACCUCAGUCAGGAGCACAUCACAUCGAAGCGUUACUGGGUGCUCCUGCAUGAUCUGCUACUGCCAAUUUGCCCAUCUUGCCAAGGUGACAGUUGCUCAGGUGUUUAUGUGCUGUACUGGAUUUUCCUUAAAGAGGAUGGAAAGAUGUAGAACAAGAGCCACUUACAACUUGCUUUUAGCCACAAUUACCUUCAGUGAUUUCCUUUUAAAGGCAGUAGUUAUUGUUUUAAGUUAUAAAGUAAUGCACUAAUUUUUUUUUUGUGUGUAGUAUAAACUCGUUUCAUGGCUUUUUUCUCAUUUUUAAGUACCUUGGGAGUUUACAUAGAUACUGAAUGUGAUGUCUGAGGGUGAGAUGUUAUGCCUGUCUUUCCCUGUAGACAUUGGUUUAUGUUCUCAGUGCAAUAAGAAAACCAGGAAAUAAGAAUUAUGAUGAUUUAGGUGAUGUUGUUAUGGGACAGUAUCUUUUUACAGAUACCGUGCCUCAUCCAUCAUUCAUAAAUUCACACACAUGCAACAUACCAUUUACUGCAUUUGUUUACAUUAAAUAAUAACAUAGAAU